GAACCCUUCUACACUCAAGACUCUGACACAACUGUACAAUGUACAAGAUCUUGGGUUUGUGUCCCAAUGCAUCAACACAGUGGUGUGAGCAGAGGGACGACUCAACAGAAGAGUGGGAGAUAGACUGCAUAUCUCUAUGAUCCACCAAUUGCCUUAAUCAAGGUCUUUACCUGCUUGGGGACAAAGUUAAACAAUCACAAACAUUGCCCCGAAAGGGGGACUUCAGAC
RNAcentral lists this long non-coding RNA (228 nucleotides) under Lathyrus oleraceus (garden pea). RNAcentral describes it as "Pisum sativum (pea) long non-coding RNA (PSAT_LNC007551)". The record is from RNAcentral. Lineage: Eukaryota; Viridiplantae; Streptophyta; Magnoliopsida; Fabales; Fabaceae.